Molecule: transfer RNA, 64 nt
Filed under: Ixodes simplex
Lineage: Eukaryota; Metazoa; Arthropoda; Arachnida; Ixodida; Ixodidae
Also listed under: 1 other name
Description: tRNA-Tyr
Source: RNAcentral
GGUAAAAUGGCCGAAGUUUAGGCUAUAAAUUGUAAAUUUAUAAAUGAAUAAUAUUCUUUUACUA